AUUUUUUUCUCAAAUAAUCCUAUAAAAAUUUGUAAUUCAAAAUUUCCUACAAAAAGCAUCACCAUCUUUUUCUUAAUAAAAUACACAAUGAAUGAUUUAUCAUUUUUUUCUAUUUUUCAUAAAUAAUCCUAACAAUCAUGUAAAAAUUUCAACAAAUCACAUAUAAUCUUACCAAUCUAAAAUAUCCUAAUAAUCCAUAUACAAUCCUAAAUAUUUCUCAUAUAUAAUCUUAACAAACAUAUAAAUAUUUCUANAUCAUUCACCGUCGUUUUCUUUUCCAUUAGAGAGGGUAAAUGAUUCACCGCUUUUCUCUAAAAGUAUAAAAGGUGAAUGAUUUAUCCUUUUUUUUAUUUCUCAUAUAUAAUCUUAACAAACAUAUAAAUAUUUCUACAAGCUAAUAAUUCCUAACUACCUACUGAUACAAUCUGAAUGAUAAAAAAAAUUUCUAAUAAUUAACGUAAAAUCCAACCUCACAAACAAAAAUCAUCACAAAUAAUUAAUACAAAAAAAAUAACAAUAUGAAAAC
This 526-nucleotide long non-coding RNA is filed under the name Ananas comosus (pineapple). RNAcentral's name for it is "long non-coding RNA (ACOM_LNC008219)". The record is from RNAcentral. Lineage: Eukaryota; Viridiplantae; Streptophyta; Magnoliopsida; Poales; Bromeliaceae.